CGUUAUUCUGCAAAGGUAAAAUCUUCAUUAAUGUACAUUAUUUAAUGUUAGUGUAAUCCAUUUGGUAAAAAUCGCUUUAUGGUUGCUUGCAUUUAGCCUAAACAAUAAUGUUUGUACUAUGGGGAUUUUCUAUCACUUAAGGCCAUGUUGGCUUAACAAUGUAUAGAUUUCAUGUCAAUAAUUCAGCUAGGUUUAGUAGUAGAUAUCAACUGCCCUUAUGAAUGUGACUAAACAUUGAUGGUUGAACACAAGGUCCAUCAAGCAUCCUUUUACAUUAUUUUGUUUCUUCUAACAGUUCUGCAUUUCUAACAUAAUAAAUCCUGUAAGUCCUGUUGCAGGAUAAAUUAUAGUGUUUUUAUUUUCCUCUGUCUUACAGAUCCCGUCUUUUCCUGCCCUUCAUUAUCCAUCUCUUUAUUUAAAGCAAAACAACGGCUCUUUUAAGAGCCACUUUUUUCUGUACUACAUAAACCCACAGGCAUAUCACUCACUCACUCACUCACCCACCCAAUCACUGUCUGUCCGUCUGUCUGUCGGUCUGUCUGUCUUUCUGUCUCCGUGGCUAAACAUGCCAACGAAGGGGUCGACACAGAGAAAGUGUGUCAAUUGUGGCACACUUAUAAAUGUUGUCUGCAAAAAAUGCAAGGCAUGUCAAGCUAUCCAACCAUACAAGGUUAGACUUGCACAAAAAAUUGAAGGCUUCAAUCGUAAGCGUGAAACGUGGGUCCAAACCCACCAAAAGAACCGGACCAGCUCUCACGUUCGGGAUGAGGCUAGCAUGUUGCUUGAGAAAUUGCAGGCCCUUGGAUGGAGGCCCGUUUUAUUCCUGGCAAGACCUGGAAAAAAGAAAAAUUGCUGGCACUCUGAAGUUUUUGCCCCUCUCUGCCAUCUGUCUGAGAGGUCUUCUGCGUGUCUGGAAAGGAUGAAGGCACUGUUUGAUCUCGUUAUUGAAGGUAAUAUAUUUUUAUUAUUUUUAAAAAACCUUUUGCGGAUAUAUGUGUGAAUAAAACGUUUCUGAAAAAUACUACAACACAUUGUAGAAGGACAUCUGCAGCGAUAUUUGAAGCUCAGAGUGGGUGCUGUAGUGGUCCAUACGCAGUGAGCACCCAUCUCAUUGUAAUGGAGGGCCUGACACCACAAAUAUUCUCCUUACUUUGCGAACAGCGUCAUUCAGAGCCGAUAUCGGUUGUAACAGUCAGCACAGCUUGAUUGAUUUUAACCAAAGUUUACUUGUCAUCACGCUGAUAACCCCAACAAAGCAUUACUGUUAGUUAGGCUUUUUACAGACUAUAUUUUAGAGUCGUUGUCACCGAUUUAUUGCAGUCAAAUCACAGGAAAAUCUCUGUCUCCUCCUGAAGACAAUGAACUUCCAUUAAAUUAAAAUUGACCAAGAAUGUUUCAAAAGACUCAAUGAAAGAGCUGGAAAGAGGAAAAGACCUUGCCCUGAGGUAGCCCGUGGCCCCCGUCUGGGGCCAGGCCCGUCAGAGAUUUCUGUGGAUUUGGCCCAUGUGUGAUUUAUGAUGGGGAGAAAUGUUUUUGGAAAGCCUCUCCCUUAAAGCGUCACAAAUAUAUAAGCUAUAUUAAUAGAAUAAAUAUCUGCCUGUUUAUUUAAUGUUUCAUACAGUUACAUUUAGAUUGUUGAACUUUAGCAACACCUACCUAAUGUUUUAAUAGUAUUUUUUACAUGUCUAAUGACAUUGAAAACUUGUAGUGACAGUAUAUCCUUGUAAACUUGUGAUAGUUGUACUUGUUGCAUAUUGUUUAUGUCAUGUUUUAACAGUGCUAACUUGUUAAAUGGCAGCCUAUGUCAAUGUUUCUGUUUGACGUGUUACGUUUAACAAAACAGGAUGGAGAUGCAUGCAGAUGGGUUGCCUUUUCAAACUUACUCACUGCUUUAACAAAGGCAAUACACUUGAUAGGAGCUUGUGAUUCUGAAACAGCAAAGUAGACAGUUAUUACUCUAGAGCUCCAUUACCCCCAUGAUUGACGAUUUCUGCAAAGUAUGGAGAUAUUAAUGAUACACUUCCAUUAGAAAAAGUGUGAUUUACUUGUGAAACAAAUCACAAUUGCUCGUACAUUGUCUUCAUUCAGACUGCUGUACAUUUUUAUUUUCUGUAAUUAAACGGCAGUUGUUAGCUAAAGCGCAUUGAAUAUUUAUUAUUCAAACUUAAUAAAACUCUUUACGGAGUAUAUACUGUAGUGUAGUUUGUAAAUACAAUCGGCCUUUCACAUUGUUGGUUCUCGGGUCCUAACUAGUCAAAGUAUAUAGUUCUCUAAAUAACUCUGUUCUACUCCAAUGAAGGUUGGACCCCCCCAGAGACACCUGCAGCAGCCUCCACUCUGCCUCCACCCUCUGUCCUCCACCCUGUCCACCAGAGACACCUGCAGCAGCCUCCACUCUGCCUCCACCCUGUCCACCAGAGACAUCUGCAGCAGCCUCCACUCUGCCUCCACCCUGUCCUCCAGAGACAUCUGCAGCAGCCUCCACUCUGCCUCCACCCUGUCCUCCAGAUACACCUGCAGGAGCCUCCACUCUGCCUCCACCCUGUCCUCCAGAUACACCUGCAGGAGCCUCCACUCUGCCUCCAGAUACACCUGCAGGAGCCUCCUCAAAAACUCUUGAAGAAGGUAUGUAGAAAAGGCAAAGGGAGCUUCUGUAUGUAAAGAGCAAUAUAAUGAGUUGUAAGCCACACGCAACCACACACUUCUUUCGUCACGUUACAAAAUGUAAACCACUUCUUAGCAAUAUCAAUCCCGUAAUCCGUUUUGUUUGAAAGAAGUUUGAGUUAAUUAUAUUUCUUCGCUUCAAUUUCAAUGCACUGCCCCACUUAGCUUUUGUCAUAACCUGAAAAAGCCCAAAACAAAUUUCUCUAUGAUGUAAACUGCGUCCCCUUUGGUGCAAUUAAUGUUAAAGCAACUGUCUCUCUUCAAAUUAAUGAUGAUACAAAUCUAAAGAGCUGCUGGGCUAAUAGCAUCAACACUAUUAACACCACUAGGACAUUAGCACUUUGGUCAUGUGCUUUGCAAAUAAAUGUACAUUUACAUGUUACUGUAAUAACUGCUUGUGUGAUUUUCGGGUCACUUUGGGACUUUGCCUCCAGCUAGUGCAGGCUCUAUGGAAUAACAUAGGUGUCAUUCUUCCUAUUACAAGUCAAUAAAACAGUAGAUUUAAAAUGAUUUAUUAGUGUAAGGCAAUUCAACUAUUUUCUGUACCUUCAUCGAUGUCUGAAUCCCCUUAUCUAUGACACAGAUUGUUUGUGCAUUUUUGUAGCUUAGCAUAACAUUUAUUGCAAAGACUAUUAGUUAUUAUUUCCGAUACUGACAGUACAAUUUCAAAAUACAUCAUAGUUGUAACAAGUGUCACUCUUUAGCUGCCUUUCCAUCAUUUUUUGCAAGCCCUAAAU
This 3401-nucleotide long non-coding RNA is filed under the name Gadus morhua (Atlantic cod). Its description in RNAcentral is "lncRNA (ENSGMOG00000024149.1)". The stretch from base 426 to 471 matches the Rfam family "Histone 3' UTR stem-loop". The record is from RNAcentral. Lineage: Eukaryota; Metazoa; Chordata; Actinopteri; Gadiformes; Gadidae.